Molecule: small nuclear RNA, 164 nt
Filed under: Echinops telfairi (small Madagascar hedgehog)
Lineage: Eukaryota; Metazoa; Chordata; Mammalia; Afrosoricida; Tenrecidae
Description: U1 spliceosomal RNA (ENSETEG00000021746.1)
Rfam family: U1 spliceosomal RNA
About the family: U1 is a small nuclear RNA (snRNA) component of the spliceosome (involved in pre-mRNA splicing).
Source: RNAcentral
AUACUUACCUAGCAGGGGAGAUACCAUGCUCACGAAGGUGGUUUUCCCAGGGCGAGGCAUAUCCAUUGCACUCCGGAUGUGCUGACCCCUGCAAUUUCCCCAAAUGUGGGAAGCUCGACUGCAUAAUUUGUGGUAGUGGGGGACUGUGUCCGCGGUCUUCCCUG